Molecule: long non-coding RNA, 465 nt
Filed under: Vulpes vulpes (red fox)
Lineage: Eukaryota; Metazoa; Chordata; Mammalia; Carnivora; Canidae
Description: lncRNA (ENSVVUG00000008077.1)
Source: RNAcentral
AUCAGAGAGGGUUAAAAUAUAAUCUAUGUUAUAAUCAGGUUCUUUGUCUCAAGGCUUCUCCGAGUCAUUUCUCAAGAUGGAUCAACAGGGCAAAUUGAAGAAGCUGUUUGCAGCCAGCCCUGCAGAGUCUCACCCUGCUGCUCCUGCUGCUCAGUGAAAUCAGCAUGCCAGCACAGCGUUAGCCUGUUUGCAUGUGCUGCAGCAUGACACAGCAGCUCAUUGGCUUCAGCCCUGUGCCAUGGCUCAUGUCAGGGUCACACAACUGUGUUGGAGCAAGAGUACUAGUUAGAACUGGUCUUUCUCAAAUAUCCACCAUUUGCUUCGACGUGGAUGGAACUGGAGGGUAUUAUGCUGAGUGAAAUAAGUCAAUCGGAGGACAAACAUUAUAUGGUCUCAUUCAUUUGGGGAAUAUAAAAAAUAGUGAAAGGGAAUAAAGGGGAAAGGAGAAAAAAUGAGUGGGAAAUA